Molecule: transfer RNA, 74 nt
Filed under: Candidatus Melainabacteria bacterium RIFOXYA12_FULL_32_12
Lineage: Bacteria; Bacillati; Candidatus Melainabacteria
Also listed under: 1 other name
Description: tRNA-Arg
Rfam family: tRNA
About the family: Transfer RNA (tRNA) molecules are approximately 80 nucleotides in length. Their secondary structure includes four short double-helical elements and three loops (D, anti-codon, and T loops).
Source: RNAcentral
GUGCCUGUAGCUCAGUUGGAUAGAGCGCCAGUCUCCGAAGCUGUAGGUCGGGGGUUCGAAUCCCCCCAGGCACA